UACGUAGGGUGCGAGCGUUAAUCGGAAUUACUGGGCGUAAAGCGUGCGCAGGCGGUUUUGUAAGUCAGAUGUGAAAUCCCCGGGCUCAACCUGGGAAUGGCAUUUGGGACUGCAAGGCUGGAGUGCGGCAGAGGAGACUGGAAUUCCCGGUGUAGCAGUGAAAUGCGUAGAUAUCGGGAGGAAUACCGAUGGCGAAGGCAGGUCUCUGGGCUGACACUGACGCUCAUGCACGAAAGCGUGGGGAGCAAACAGG
This 253-nucleotide ribosomal RNA is filed under the name uncultured bacterium. RNAcentral's name for it is "partial 16S ribosomal RNA". It matches the Rfam family "Bacterial small subunit ribosomal RNA", at positions 524 to 776 of the family's 1533-position model. The record is from RNAcentral.